AUGCAGUCGAACGAUGAUCCCAGCUUGCUGGGGGAUUAGUGGCGAACGGGUGAGUAACACGUGAGUAACCUGCCCUUGACUCUGGGAUAAGCCUGGGAAACUGGGUCUAAUACCGGAUAUGACCGUCUGACGCAUGUCAGGUGGUGGAAAGCUUUUGUGGUUUUGGAUGGACUCGCGGCCUAUCAGCUUGUUGGUGGGGUAAUGGCCUACCAAGGCGACGACGGGUAGCCGGCCUGAGAGGGUGACCGGCCACACUGGGACUGAGACACGGCCCAGACUCCUACGGGAGGCAGCAGUGGGGAAUAUUGCACAAUGGGCGCAAGCCUGAUGCAGCGACGCCGCGUGAGGGAUGACGGCCUUCGGGUUGUAAACCUCUUUCAGUAGGGAAGAAGCGAAAGUGACGGUACCUGCAGAAGAAGCGCCGGCUAACUACGUGCCAGCAGCCGCGGUAAUACGUAGGGCGCAAGCGUUAUCCGGAAUUAUUGGGCGUAAAGAGCUCGUAGGCGGUUUGUCGCGUCUGCUGUGAAAGACCGGGGCUCAACUCCGGUUCUGCAGUGGGUACGGGCAGACUAGAGUGAUGUAGGGGAGACUGGAAUUCCUGGUGUAGCGGUGAAAUGCGCAGAUAUCAGGAGGAACACCGAUGGCGAAGGCAGGUCUCUGGGCAUUAACUGACGCUGAGGAGCGAAAGCAUGGGGAGCGAACAGGAUUAGAUACCCUGGUAGUCCAUGCCGUAAACGUUGGGCACUAGGUGUGGGGGACAUUCCACGUUUUCCGCGCCGUAGCUAACGCAUUAAGUGCCCCGCCUGGGGAGUACGGCCGCAAGGCUAAAACUCAAAGGAAUUGACGGGGGCCCGCACAAGCGGCGGAGCAUGCGGAUUAAUUCGAUGCAACGCGAAGAACCUUACCAAGGCUUGACAUGAACCGGUAAUACCUGGAAACAGGUGCCCCGCUUGCGGUCGGUUUACAGGUGGUGCAUGGUUGUCGUCAGCUCGUGUCGUGAGAUGUUGGGUUAAGUCCCGCAACGAGCGCAACCCUCGUUCUAUGUUGCCAGCGCGUUAUGGCGGGGACUCAUAGGAGACUGCCGGGGUCAACUCGGAGGAAGGUGGGGACGACGUCAAAUCAUCAUGCCCCUUAUGUCUUGGGCUUCACGCAUGCUACAAUGGCCGGUACAAAGGGUUGCGAUACUGUGAGGUGGAGCUAAUCCCAAAAAGCCGGUCUCAGUUCGGAUUGGGGUCUGCAACUCGACCCCAUGAAGUCGGAGUCGCUAGUAAUCGCAGAUCAGCAACGCU
RNAcentral lists this ribosomal RNA (1289 nucleotides) under Arthrobacter sp. RNAcentral describes it as "bacterial SSU rRNA". It matches the Rfam family "Bacterial small subunit ribosomal RNA", at positions 55 to 1358 of the family's 1533-position model. The record is from RNAcentral. Lineage: Bacteria; Bacillati; Actinomycetota; Actinomycetes; Micrococcales; Micrococcaceae.